Molecule: non-coding RNA, 206 nt
Organism: Pelobates cultripes (western spadefoot toad)
Lineage: Eukaryota; Metazoa; Chordata; Amphibia; Anura; Pelobatidae
Source: the annotation of a GenBank genome assembly
CAGCCAUAACUCCCCUGCUUGCUGUCUCCUAUAGUUCAGGGCUAGUGGAGGGAGGAUAACUUAUUGCCAAAAGUGGUGGGAAAAUCACAGUCUCCCUCUUUUGGACAAAGGUAUUUGGGCUGUUGAUGUCCUAGGUUUGUGCCUCACCACAAAGCCUCCUGUUGAAUGGCUUCUACUCCCAGACGGCUUUUAGAUUGUCACAAAAC